Molecule: ribosomal RNA, 403 nt
Filed under: uncultured bacterium
Lineage: Bacteria
Description: partial 16S ribosomal RNA
Rfam family: Bacterial small subunit ribosomal RNA
Source: RNAcentral
UGGGGAAUAUUGCAGCAAUGGGCGCAAGCCUGAUGCAGCCAUGCCGCGUGUGUGAAGAAGGCCUUCGGGUUGUAAAGCACUUUCAGCGAGGAGGAAAGGUGGUGAACUUAAUACGUUCAUCAAUUGGCGUUACUCGCAGAAGAAGCACCGGCUAACUCCGUGCCAGCAGCCGCGGUAAUACGGAGGGUGCAAGCGUUAAUCGGAAUUACUGGGCGUAAAGCGCACGCAGGCGGUUUGUUAAGUCAGAUGUGAAAUCCCCGGGCUCAACCUGGGAACUGCAUUUGAAACUGGCAAGCUAGAGUCUCGUAGAGGGGGGUAGAAUUCCAGGUGUAGCGGUGAAAUGCGUAGAGAUCUGGAGGAAUACCGGUGGCGAAGGCGGCCCCCUGGACGAAGACUGACGCUC